UACAACUUUCAGCAACGGAUCUCUUGGCUCUCGCAUCGAUGAAGAACGCAGCGAAAUGCGAUAAGUAAUGUGAAUUGCAGAAUUCAGUGAAUCAUCGAAUCUUUGAACGCACCUUGCACUCCUUGGUAUUCCGAGGAGUAUGCCUGUUUGA
This 151-nucleotide ribosomal RNA is filed under the name Irpex flavus. Its description in RNAcentral is "Flavodon flavus 5.8S ribosomal RNA". It matches the Rfam family "5.8S ribosomal RNA". Rfam says of the family: 5.8S ribosomal RNA (5.8S rRNA) is a component of the large subunit of the eukaryotic ribosome. It is transcribed by RNA polymerase I as part of the 45S precursor that also contains 18S and 28S rRNA. Lineage: Eukaryota; Fungi; Basidiomycota; Agaricomycetes; Polyporales; Irpicaceae. The record is from RNAcentral.